This is a non-coding RNA of Podarcis lilfordi (Lilford's wall lizard), 6105 nucleotides long. Lineage: Eukaryota; Metazoa; Chordata; Lepidosauria; Squamata; Lacertidae. The record is from the annotation of a GenBank genome assembly.
GGGCAUUACAUGCCGUAAACUUCAUACCUGUGGUCCAUAACUGUUCCCAGUCAGCCAUCAUUAUGUUAUGACCAACAUCUUGUGCCCAUUUAAUCAUAACAGAUUUCACCGUUUCAUCCUGAGUAUUCCAUUUCAACAGCAAGUUAUACAUCUUUGACAAAAUCUUAGUUUUGGGUUCUAAUAGUUCUGUUUCUAAUUUUGAUUUUUCCACCUGGAAACCAAUUUUCUUAUCCAGAUUAUAUGCCUCCAUUAUCUGAUAAUAAUGAAGCCAGUCUCGCACUUUGUUUUUUAAUUUCUCAAAACUCUGCAAUUUCAGUCUAUCUCCAUCUUGUUCCAAAAUUUCCCAAUAUUUCGGCCAUUUGGCCUCCAUAUUGAGCUUUUUCAAAGCUUUUGCUUCCAUCGGUGACAGCCACCUUGGAGUUUUGUUUUCCAAUAAGUCCUUAUAUCUUAUCCAAACAUUAAACAAUGCUUUCCUGACAAUAUGGUUUUUAAAUGCUUUAUGCGCUUUGACCUUAUCAUACCACAGAUAUGCAUGCCAUCCAAAUACAUUGUUAAAACCUUCUAAAUCCAAAAUGUCAGUAUUUUCAAGAAGCAACCAUUCUUUCAACCAGCAGAAAGCUGCUGAUUCAUAGUAAAGUUUAAAGUCUGGCAGGGCAAAUCCACCUCUUUCCUUUGCAUCUGUUAAUAUUUUAAAUUUUAUUCUAAGCUUCUUGCCCUGCCAGACAAAUUUAGAAAUAUCUCUCUGCCACCUCUUGAAACAGUCCAUUUUGUCCACAAUUUGCAAUGUUUGAAACAAAAACAACAUUCUAGGCAAUACAUUCAUUUUUACCGCAGCAAUACGGCCCAGCAGUGAAAGCUUCAAAUUUGACCAAAUUUCCAAAUCUUUUUUCACUUCAGCCCAGCAUUUUUCAUAAUUAUCUUUAAAUAAGUUCCCAUUUUUUGCUGUCAUGUUAAUCCCCAAAUAUUUAACUUUCUUAACCACUGUUAAACCUGUCUCAUUCUGAAACCUCUCUCUCUCCAUUGGUGUUAAAUUUUUCUCUAAAACCUUGGUCUUUAACUUAUUCAACUUAAAUCCUGCAACUUGACCAAAUUCUUGAAUCAGUUCUAAAACUCUUUUGGUACUAGAUUCUGGCUCCUGUAACGUCAAUACUAAGUCAUCUGCAAAUGCUCUCAGUUUGUACUGUUUGGCUCCGACCUGUAUACCUUUAACCAACCGGUCCCUUCUAAUCAUGUUCAGCAGAACCUCCAGGACCGAUAUAAAAAGCAAUGGGGAAAUUGGGCAACCUUGUCUUGUCCCUUUUUCUAUCUUAAAUUCUUCCGUCACCACAUUAUUUACAAUUAGUUUAGCCUUUUGUUCUGAAUAAAUUGCACUUAUACUGUUUUCAAAACCUUGGCCUACCCCCAUCCCCUGUAGGUUCUUCUUCAUGAAACUCCAAGAGAUAUUAUCAAAAGCCUUCUCCGCGUCCACAAAUAUCAAAACAGCUUUGGUAUUUAUGUUCACUUCUAGUUUUUCCAAAAUAUCAAUUAUAUUCCUCAAAUUAUUGGACAAGUGUCUUCCCAGGAGAAAGCCCACUUGGUCUUUAUGAAUCUCUUCCAUCAAUACUUUUUUCAAUCUCUUGGCCAAAAUGUCUGCAAAAAUUUUGUAAUCCACAUUAAGUAACGAUAUGGGGCGGUAGUUCUUAAGCUGAGUCUUUUCAGUCUCUGUCUUCGGUAUAAGUGUAAUGUACGCCUCUUUCCAAGACUCUGGUGCCCUUUUCCCUUCCAAUAUUUCAUUGCAGACUUCCUUUAAAGGUUGUAAUAGCCACUCUUUCAAAGAUCUAUAAUAUCUAGAAGUCAGCCCAUCCGGUCCUGGAGAUUUGCCUAAUUGCAUGUUUUGAAUGGCACCUUCUACUUCCUGUUCAGAUAUUUUAUAGUUCACAGGCCUAUGGCCUUUAUAAAUGUCUCAGGGAGCAGGUCUUGUUCUCUUCCCCCCUCUCUUAUUAUUACAUCAUCUGUCUUGGGAGACAAUGAAGGAGUGUGCCUUUUGCGGGUGAAGUCACACUGUUGGAAAUUUACAGAGCCUGCUGUGGCUGUAAAGACCAACACGGGACAGACAUGUUUUGUUGCAGCUGGGGCAGAUGAAGGUGUCUGGUUGUGCUGCUGCAGAUGAACCAUGGUGUUUCUUCUUUCUGUGCUCCUUCAGCGGUCAUUCAUCAUUUGGUCUCUGCUGAGGAUGUACGACCUGACUGUCUGUCUCCAGGCACUGCAUCAUCCACUCUGUAUACAUGGGCAACUGCAGGUGGAAGACAUCAUGCGCUUUUUACUGUAUUGCCCACUAUACACUGGACCCAAGAGGCGCUUUCUUACCCUACCGUCCAUACAGGAAAGAUAUCUCUCCCCAGCAGAGAUGAAGCCCUAUGGCUUCUUAGCAAUGUAAACACUUCAAUGACUCACAAAGUCACCCUUUUUGCUCUGGCAGCCAAAAAGAUCAGAAAGAAGGCCCUGGACUAUAUAGCAGUGAACUGUAAGAUCUAAACAGAGAUCUAAAUGGAGACUAUUGUUUGUGGUGUGGCAUCUCUUUUGCUUGUAUUUAUUUCCGAUUCAUAUUGGAAUGGCUAGUACAAUAAAGUUAUUUGGAUUGGAUUAGAUACAAGGGAUUCCCGCAUGGCGGGGUUGAUGCUGCAAACCAGUUAUUCUGUGUUUUUAUGCUGUAAAUCGCCCUGUGUAUAUCAUUUCAAUCAACAUCAACUACAUUUGCGUGUUCAGACCCAGAGAUCUCCACCCUAAAUAAACACACAUUUGACUCAAAUUUUAGUUUUGGUUUUUGGCAGACUUUAGGUUGCAACUUUAUUGAUUACAGAAAAGUGAGUGGUUGCAUAGGCUCUGGUUCGACUAGCUCCCUGAACCCUUGCAGGUAGCGCUGACCCAGAGCUCUAUCAUAGGUCAGCCAAGGGUGAACACCUGAGGUAGGUGGAAAGCCCGGGAACAGAUUACCGUAUUUUUCGCUCUAUAGGACGCACAUUUUCCCCUCCAAAAAUUAAGGGGAAAUUUGUGUGCGUCCUAUGGAGCGAAUGCAGGCUCCUUGGCUUCAGUGAUAGCAACGCGAAGCCUCCGAAGCGCAGAGGGAGCGCUCCCUCCUCGCUCCUUGGCUUCGCAUUGCUUUCGCUGAAGCCUGGAGAGUGAGAGGGGUCGGUGUGCACCAACCCCUCUCACUCUCCAGGCUUCAGGGAUAGCCGCCUGAAGCCUUUGGAGCACAGCGCGAGUUCCCGCUGCGUUCCAGAGGUUUCAGGUUUCUUUCGCUGAAGCCAGGAGAGCAAGACUAUCCAGUGCCUAUCCACAAUCUUACAAGUUGUGAUGGUUUGCUAUGCAGCAGGUGAAACCCAAAUGGCAACAGCCAAUCAGCCAAGUGGGGAACAUUUCUGCUGUGCCCCGUCCAAAUGACAGGCAUCACACGACGGCAUAGCGAGGUCAAGUGCACAGCCCUAAAUAUAGGGAGAGGUGGGCGGGUGUUCUGAUGCACACACUGAAAGAGGAAGCUCUGGGUCACAUGCAUAGGUAUAUAGUUAUAUAGGUCCCUCAAUCAGUUUAGACUGCACCCCAUUGGCCAGAUUAAACCUAGCAACAAGGGACCUACCAAUCGGGUGUUGUGGUUGUCCAAUAAACCCACCCACAACCGGGAAGUCAGCCUCCAGGUCUCAGUGCAACACGUGACCUCUUUUAGGGAGGACACAAUUUUUCUAGGCACAAGGGUUAGACAGGGAAGGUGACAGAAAAAAGGCAGAGGCACAGGAGGAGGAGAGGAGGAAAGAAAGAGACCCACAAUAAGACCUGCCAUAAGGAGUUAAAUUCCUCUGCAGUCUUUCAGCCCCUUUUCUGUUAUAUUAUGUGUAUGGCUUUUCUGUUUUUUUUGUGGGGUUUUUGAAUUUUUUUUUACUAAAGAUACAGUGAUCAGUAAAACCACAUUUAAAGUGAAUUGGGGUGAAAAGAAACCCUUCCAGUCCAAUGUCUUGAAGUUUAUGUACCGCCCAAGUGAUUUUUUAUAUAUAUAAAAAACACCAGUUCAAUUAAUAGCCCGUGUUAUGUUGAUGCAGCUGUUAAGAAAAAGUAUCCCAUGGGGGUUAAACCUUGGGGUCACUACAGACCCCAAAUACCGUCUUUGUAGUUUAUGCACACCUGAACUGCAAGUACAAAAUCCUUACUUGUUCUACAUUCAUUUGGAGUUCUUGCCAAACAGAAUGACUCCAUUGAACCCCCGCUAUCCAAUUAAUGAAGUGGUGUUUUUACGAGAGCAGGAGAAUUUUAAAUGUGAGCGGAGAAAUGUAGUGCUAGAAGCAACCCUUGACUUGGUCUCGCCCUUAAAAUGUCUAUUGAUUUCUUUUUUCCCCCUUGUCACAUUAUUGGAAUUGUUUCCUUCCUAGCUGUGAUUGAGACAUAUAAAACUUGGAGGAGAGAGAAGGCCUGUGUUUGCUGAGCAUACACUUGUUACACAAGCCUUAACUACUUAAGGCGCUAAUGGAAUAUGUCAAACAAAUGCCAGAUCACUGGUGAUGUCAACACAUUGCAUUGUCAUUGCCGCGCUGAAUUGUAGUUUCUCCAGGCUCAGCCAUUGAUGGAAACUGAAAUUGCAUCAUGCAACUGAGACAUCAUUACCUCUGUGAAAUCAGGGUUAUAUAGUGGAUGGCUUGAAGUGAAUGUCAAGUAGUGUGCAAAAGAGAGUGGUUGAUAAGCUUACAGCCCCCCCCCCAUCCCAAGAACUUUAGAGCAGCCCCGAGACACUGAUUCUGAGCUGUCAAUCUUAUGGUGAACAUUUUUGGGGCCAUGUAACGCUCAAGUUGUUUGUCAGAAACUCCGAGUCAUUAAUCCUUCCUUGACGCUACAUAAUUAAAAUUUGAGAAGGUAUUAUUUUUGGAUUAGUAUUGGAAUUUUAUACAUGAUGUCACUCUGCAAAGAUCUGUUGUAUUAUUUCUAACCCAGCUCACUUAUAAAAAGGAGUGUGUGAGAGAGAGAGACCAUUGCCAAGCAAAUUGGCUGCUGGUGCUAUCAGCAUCCUGCAGUGUUUUUGUUAAUUAUCUUGCCAUAGUUGUCUGAUGCAGAUAACAAUCUUUCCAAAAGAGGAGACAGAUUUAAAGAGGCAGAAUUAAUGAAAAUUGAUUUGUGCAGCCUGUCAUAGCAAGAUCUGUUGGGAGACCCUCCUCCCUGCCAUGAUCCGCAUAGAUGUAAUUCCAGGCACAGGUAGGGUCCCCACUGCAGAAUACUAAUUAUGGUGCCAGGGCACAAUGUGUCUGAUGUGACUGACAGAUGAAUGCAUGAAAAAGUCUUCAGAACUGAGUUCAUUUGUAAAGUAUCCAGGGAGGACAUGGAUCCAGCUACUGGGAGGCUGUAUGAACAAAGCUUAGGAAAAAUGGGGGGGGGGGGAGCCAGACGAUAAAUGUAGUGUUUCUGGGGUAUGUGUGGAUUUCAUACAAACAACUCGUGCAUACAGUGGUAAAUGUGCAUUAGCCUAAGACAUAGCUGUCAAUGUUUUCCUUUUUUUAAGGGGAAUUCCCUUAUUCCUCGCAAGAAAAGGGAAAAGUUGACAGCUAUGGCCUAAGAUAACAUUUUGUAAGAAGAAUUUCACUGGGGUGUCAUGGCUGUGUGCAAGCUAGCAGUAAGCGCAUGGCAAACCAACAGUAGGCACACAACAAACUAACAAUGGAGGAUUGGCCAUCUGUGUAGUAUCUAGGAGACUUAUCAUCCAAGUCUGGAAAGAUAAACACUCAUCAUCUAUUAUGCAGUGGUCUGGGGAAUUUACUGUCCUUGCUACUGCCCUUUGGGGGUGCUAUACUGGGGGUAGAGCAAGGGUGUGGGCUGGCUCGCUUGUGCUAAAAUUGUUGUUCAAUUGGGGUGGGGUUUUAACUUGGCUGGGUGUUGUUUUAUUUGGGGGUGAGGUUGCUUAAAAUUGUUUUAAAUUACAUUUCCAAGCACAAUUCAAAGAGCCCUAAAUGGCCUCGGAGCAGUAUACCUGAAGAAAAAAGUCACAAUAACUUUUAUUUAUUUUAUACAUUUUUUUUAUUUUUUUUAUUUUGAUAAAGUAAUAAUCAUAAAUAAAUAAGAGUCACAAUAACUUUAAACUAAACAACUUAUAUC